This 468-nucleotide ribosomal RNA is filed under the name uncultured bacterium. RNAcentral's name for it is "partial 16S ribosomal RNA". It matches the Rfam family "Bacterial small subunit ribosomal RNA", at positions 28 to 507 of the family's 1533-position model. The record is from RNAcentral.
GACGAACGCUGGCGGCGUGCUUAACACAUGCAAGUCGAACGGAAAGGCCCUGCUUUUGCGGGGUGCUCGAGUGGCGAACGGGUGAGUAACACGUGAGUAACCUGCCCUUGACUUUGGGAUAACUUCAGGAAACUGGGGCUAAUACCGGAUAGGAGCUCCUGCUGCAUGGUGGGGGUUGGAAAGUUUCGGCGGUUGGGGAUGGACUCGCGGCUUAUCAGCUUGUUGGUGGGGUAGUGGCUUACCAAGGCUUUGACGGGUAGCCGGCCUGAGAGGGUGACCGGCCAAAUUGGGACUGAGAUACGGCCCAGACUCCUAAGGGAGGCAGCAGUGGGGAAUAUUGCAAAAUGGGCGGAAGCCUGAUGCAGCAACGCCGCGUGCGGGAUGACGGCCUUCGGGUUGUAAACCGCUUUCGCCUGUGACGAAGCGUGAGUGACGGUAAUGGGUAAAGAAGCACCGGCUAACUACGUG